AGGAUAAACGCUGGCGGCGUGCCUAACACAUGCAAGUCGAACGUCUCUUCUUUCGGGAAGAGGAGUGGCGGACGGGUGAGGAACACGUGGGAACCUGCCCUUCAGUGAGGAAUACCGGCGAGAAAUCGCCGACAAGACCGCAUAGCCCUCUCUGGUGAGAGCCAGAGAAGGAAAGCCUCGCAAGAGGCGCUGGAGGAGGGGCCUGCGUCCGAUUAGCUAGUUGGUGCGGUAAGAGCCUACCAAGGCGUCGAUCGGUAGCUGGUCUGAGAGGACGAUCAGCCACACUGGGAUUGAGAACGGCCCAGACUCCUACGGGGGGCAGCAGUGAGGAAUUUUCGGCAAUGGGGGAAACCCUGACCGAGCAACGCCGCGUGCAGGAAGACGGCCUUCGGGUUGUAAACUGCUUUUCUUUGGGACGAGCAAGGACGGUACCAGAGGAAUCAGCCCCGGCUCACUACGUGCCAGCAGCCGC
RNAcentral lists this ribosomal RNA (472 nucleotides) under uncultured bacterium. RNAcentral's name for it is "SSU rRNA". It matches the Rfam family "Bacterial small subunit ribosomal RNA", at positions 26 to 518 of the family's 1533-position model. The record is from RNAcentral.